CCUACGGGUGGCAGCAGUAGGGAAUCUUCCACAAUGGGCGAAAGCCUGAUGGAGCAACGCCGCGUGGGUGAAGAAGGUCUUCGGAUCGUAAAACCCUGUUGUUAGAGAAGAAAGUGCGUGAGAGUAACUGUUCACGUUUCGACGGUAUCUAACCAGAAAGCCACGGCUAACUACGUGCCAGCAGCCGCGGUAAUACGUAGGUGGCAAGCGUUAUCCGGAUUUAUUGGGCGUAAAGGGAACGCAGGCGGUCUUUUAAGUCUGAUGUGAAAGCCUUCGGCUUAACCGGAGUAGUGCAUUGGAAACCGGGAGACGUGAGUGCAGAAGAGGAGAGUGGAACUCCAUGUGUAGCGGGGAAAUGCGUAAAUAUAUGGAAGAACACCAGGGGCGAAAGCGGCUCUCUGGUCUGUAACUGACGCUGAGGUUCGAAAGCGUGGGUAGCAAACAGGAUUAGAUACCCCAGUAGUC
This 465-nucleotide ribosomal RNA is filed under the name uncultured bacterium. RNAcentral's name for it is "partial 16S ribosomal RNA". It matches the Rfam family "Bacterial small subunit ribosomal RNA", at positions 338 to 795 of the family's 1533-position model. The record is from RNAcentral.